CGGACGGGUGAGUAAUGUCUGGGAAACUGCCUGAUGGAGGGGGAUAACUACUGGAAACGGUAGCUAAUACCGCAUAACGUCGCAAGACCAAGAGGGGGACCUUAGGGCCUCUUGCCAUCGGAUGUGCCCAGAUGGGAUUAGCUAGUAGGUGGGGUAACGGCUCACCUAGGCGACGAUCCCUAGCUGGUCCGAGAGGAUGACCAGCCACACUGGAACUGAGACACGGUCCAG
This 231-nucleotide ribosomal RNA is filed under the name uncultured bacterium. RNAcentral's name for it is "partial 16S ribosomal RNA". It matches the Rfam family "Bacterial small subunit ribosomal RNA", at positions 99 to 334 of the family's 1533-position model. The record is from RNAcentral.